CCUACGGGGGACAGCAGUAGGGAAUCUUCCACAAUGGGCGAAAGCCUGAUGGAGCAACGUCGCGUGGGUGAAGAAGGUCUUCGGAUCGUAAAACCCUGUUGUUAGAGAAGAAAGUGCGUGAGAGUAACUGUUCACGUUUCGACGGUAUCUAACCAGAAAGCCACGGCUAACUACGUGCCAGCAGCCGCGGUAAUACGUAGGUGGCAAGCGUUAUCCGGAUUUAUUGGGCGUAAAGGGAACGCAGGCGGUCUUGUAGGUCUGAUGGGAAAGCCUUCGGCUUAACCGGGGUAGUGCAUUGGAAACUGGGAGACUUGAGUGCAGAAGAGGAGAGUGGAACUCCAUGUGUAGCGGUGAAAUGCGUAGAUAUAUGGAAGAACACCAGUGGCGAAGGCGGCUCUCUGGUCUGUAACUGACGCUGAGGUUCGAAAGCGUGGGUAGCAAACAGGAUUAGAUACCCGUGUAGUC
RNAcentral lists this ribosomal RNA (465 nucleotides) under uncultured bacterium. Its description in RNAcentral is "partial 16S ribosomal RNA". It matches the Rfam family "Bacterial small subunit ribosomal RNA", at positions 338 to 795 of the family's 1533-position model. The record is from RNAcentral.